Molecule: long non-coding RNA, 2015 nt
Organism: Oncorhynchus keta (chum salmon)
Lineage: Eukaryota; Metazoa; Chordata; Actinopteri; Salmoniformes; Salmonidae
Exons: 3
Source: RefSeq, a predicted model, not a curated record
AGGCAGGAUCAGACCUGGGUCCCUGUGGAGAAAUAAACACUGGGCCUAUAAAGGGCAUUGAUACGACACAUAAUCCUUCAAUAACAACACAGCUCAACCUGCAAGACUGACUACUGAGUCAACAGGCGUCUGGAUACUGACUCAAACCACAGGUUGUCUUGUGGUAUGUGGUGGACAGAACUCAAUGAAGAUGAAGUACCCAGAAGGAUUGAGCAUCUACUUUGGCCUAAUGAAGAUUUAAACCAGUGAAGCAAAGGCUGUACACACUUCAUCAGUCUUUCUCACAGGCUACAAGUGGGAUGCAACUGUGCGUGUCCUUUCCAAUUCCGAGGCUCGUAUUGAAGAUAUUGGAAGAACUGUACACAUUUACUUUUCGUCAGCCAACAAGAGGAGUAGGCCUAACGAACAGCAAAAACACUAGCCUAUGUCAAUCUACUACCCCCCCAUAGUAGAAUUAAUAUAAUCACUAGCAUAAAACAAACUGUUUGAAGCAAUGAGCCUGAAGCAACAGGUGAGAACGUUUAGUUUAAAAUGUUGAUAAACUAUUAGGCAAUUUCGUCACAUUAUAAGUGCAGCAAUGCGCACACAGCAUUAGACUAUAAGCGUGAGUGUUCCAUUAGCAGGAAAACACCAUCCUCAAAAGUGAUAUAUAUGCCAGUUAGGCUCUACACCCAUUGUAAAGCAGAUUAAUGUGCAUCAUUUUAAGAAGUUAUUUGUCCACUUUAGUUGUGAUACAAACCUUAUUAAAACAUAUAAGCCUAUGGGCUAGGAUUAAUGAGGUGUGAGACUAUGAUUUGAAAAAGUCGCAAAAAAAGCAUGCACUGUUUGCCUUAAGCUGGGCAUCAUUCACAAGUGAUGAUGUAUAAUUGACAAGUGAUAGGCUAACAUUGUCACCCAUCAUACUAUUCUUGAUUUAAUCUUGUCUUUACAUAUACUAAAUAAUGUCUGUGUGACAUUUGUUGUGAUUUAGAAUGGACCAUUAUCAUGCACCUGCCUCGAAACAUGGGCAGUGGGAAAAAUGCAUGUCAUCUAUGCACUUAAAUAGCGAAUGGAGGAUGCUUUUCUCAGGGUUCAUUUUCAUGCCAGCCAGGUAGGCUAUAGUCCUGUUUUAAGGAGAAGCAAUGUGCUUAAUAUUAGGAAGGUUGAGAAAUAAAUAUAGCAAGCCUAGCCUAUAGAAAGCUGAUGGGAUCCUCCUCUUUUUAAGAGGCCAUCACUCUGUUUUCUCACGCAAUUGCAAAGCCUACAGAGAUGUUGCACAAAAUGAGCUCAUGGGCUCUCAUUAAGUGUUUGAUUAGAUUUUUGAUUGCAUUUGCAUUGAUGUCAGAGUGAUUAGAGGGACAAUAGAGUGCGGAGUACGAGGCAGUUAGCACGAUUGGUAGUCUACUAAUGACCAUCAGCAGCACCAGAGCUUGGAAAAGCCUAAUUACCAUUACUUAAUGGUCACAUGGAAUUUGACUGCCAUCAUGACUUGUGACCGUCGAUUUUGCGGUAAUAUGGUCACCAUAACAGCCUUAAGUAGACCCAUAGACUUGGCUUGAGACCUGUCCACAUUAUGACACCAUGCAUUUAACGCUCAUGAUAACAGUUAGUGUGUAUUGUAUCAGUAUGUGUGUGUGUGAGAGACUGUGUGUGUGUGUGUGUUAUGAGUCCUCUUACGGAUCUGCCCCUUUAUGUCAAUUUUUGCCUAAAAUGACCCAAAUCUAACUGCCUGUAGCUCAGGACCUGAAGCAAGGAUAUGCAUAUUCUUGAUUCCAUUUGAAAGGAAAAACUUUGACAUUUGUGGAAAUGUGAAAUCAAUGUCAGAGAGUUAUAACACAUUAAAUAUGGUAAAAGAUAAUACAAAGGAAAAAACAUGCAUUUUUUUUCACAAAUCUUUGAAAUGCAAGAAAAAAGCCAUAAUGUAUUAUUCCAGCCCAGGUGCAAUUUUGAUUUUGUCAGACUAGAUGGCAGCAGUGUAUGUGCAAAGUUUUAGACUGUUCCAAUGAACAAUUUAAUUUCUGUUCAAAAUGUUGUAU